CCCAAGGUGUCGUGCGCCGACAUCCUCGCGCUCGCCACGCGGGACGCCGUCGUCGCCGCCGGCCUGCCCUUCUUCCCCAUAACCCGGGGCCGCAUGGACACCCGCACGCCCGCUCCCGACGUGCUCGGGAACCUCCCGUCGCCAUCCGACUCGGUGGGCAAUCUCCUCGACAUGUUCCGCCGCAAGGGCCUCGGCGACGACCCGCGCGUCCUGGUGGCCCUCUCCGGCGGGCACACCGUCGGCAAGACCAGCUGCGGCCUGAUCAGGGGGAACGACGAUUUCUCCAGGGCCCUGGCGGCCAACUGCUCCGCCAGCCGGAGCAGGAAGCAGAGCCUGGACGUGAUCACGCCGGACGCCUUCGACAACAGGUACUUCGUGGCGCUGAGGAACGGCAAGGGGGUGCUCGGGUCCGACCAGGGGCUGGCCGACCACCCCAGCACCAGGGACAUUGUUAGGGAUUUCGCCAACGACCAGCAGCUCUUCUUCACACAGUUCCGCGCCUCCAUGACCAAGCUCAGCCAGCUGAAAGCGCCCGCGGGUGGAAGCAGGUUCGAGAUCCGCCUCGACUGCUCCAAGCCCAACGCCCGUGUCGGAGACGAAGACGAUGCCGCCGCCGGCC
Molecule: long non-coding RNA, 619 nt
Filed under: Setaria italica (foxtail millet)
Lineage: Eukaryota; Viridiplantae; Streptophyta; Magnoliopsida; Poales; Poaceae
Description: long non-coding RNA (SITA_LNC001747)
Source: RNAcentral